GACGAACGCUGGCGGCGUGCUUAACACAUGCAAGUCGAACGGAAAGGCCCCUUUGGGGGUACUCGAGUGGCGAACGGGUGAGUAACACGUGAGUAACCUGCCCUUGACUUCGGGAUAACUUCAGGAAACUGGGGCUAAUACCGGAUAGGAAUCCUUGCUGCAUGGUGGGGGUUGGAAAGCUUCGGCGGUUUUGGAUGGACUCACGGCUUAUCAGCUUGUUGGUGGGGUAGUGGCUUACCAAGGCUUUGACGGGUAGUCGGCCUGAGAGGGCGACCGGCCACAUUGGGACUGAGAUACGGCCCAGACUCCUACGGGAGGCAGCAGUGGGGAAUAUUGCACAAUGGGCGGAAGCCUGAUGCAGCAACGCCGCGUGCGGGAUGACGGCCUUCGGGUUGUAAACCGCUUUCAGCAGGGGCGAAGCUUGUGGUGACGGUACCUGCAGAAGAAGCACCGGCUAACUACGUG
RNAcentral lists this ribosomal RNA (465 nucleotides) under uncultured bacterium. Its description in RNAcentral is "partial 16S ribosomal RNA". It matches the Rfam family "Bacterial small subunit ribosomal RNA", at positions 28 to 507 of the family's 1533-position model. The record is from RNAcentral.